CUACGGGGGGCUGCAGUGAGGAAUAUUGCACAAUGGGGGGAACCCUGAUGCAGCAACGCCGCGUGGAGGAUGACGCAUUUCGGUGUGUAAACUCCUUUUAUAUGUCAAGAAGAUGACGGUAGCAUAUGAAUAAGCACCGGCUAACUCCGUGCCAGCAGCCGCGGUAAUACGGAGGGUGCAAGCGUUACUCGGAAUCACUGGGCGUAAAGGACGCGUAGGCGGGUUGGAAAGUCAGGUGUGAAAUCCUACAGCUUAACUGUAGAACUGCACUUGAAACUUCUAAUCUAGAGUAUGGGAGGGGGGGAUGGAAUUAGUGGUGUAGGGGUAAAAUCCGUAGAUAUCACUAGGAAUACCUAAAGCGAAGGCGAUCUCCUGGAACAUUACUGACGCUAAGGCGUGAAAGCGUGGGGAGCAAACAGGAUUAGAUACCGCGUAGUC
RNAcentral lists this ribosomal RNA (438 nucleotides) under uncultured bacterium. RNAcentral's name for it is "partial 16S ribosomal RNA". It matches the Rfam family "Bacterial small subunit ribosomal RNA", at positions 339 to 795 of the family's 1533-position model. The record is from RNAcentral.